Molecule: unclassified non-coding RNA, 325 nt
Filed under: soil metagenome
Description: partial contains 5.8S ribosomal RNA, internal transcribed spacer 2, and large subunit ribosomal RNA
Rfam family: 5.8S ribosomal RNA (bases 1-120)
Source: RNAcentral
GAUGAAGAACGUAGCGAAAUGCGAUAAGUAGUGUGAAUUGCAGAAUUCAGUGAAUCAUCGAAUCUUUGAACGCACAUUGCGCCCCUUGGUAUCCCGAGGGGCAUGCCUGUUCGAGCGUCAUUUCACCACUCAAGCCUGGCUUGGUGUUGGGCGACGUCCUCUUUGGGGACGCGCCUCGAAACGCUCGGCGGCGUGGCACCGGCUUUAAGCGUAGCAGAAUCUUUCGCUUUGGAAGUCGGGGCCCCGUCUGCCGGAAGACCUGCUCGCAAGGUUGACCUCGGAUCAGGCAGGGAUACCCGCUGAACUUAAGCAUAUCAAUAAGCGG